UAAGCGCAUAUUGAAACGGGUUGCGAGCUGCGUUGCCGUUUCGCUGGUGGGGGGUGCAUGCGGGUUGCCUUCGCCUCCGGCUCCGGUGCUUGGUGUUUUGGUCCGGUAGCGGGGGUUGUUUGUUUGCACGCUUCGAUGGUCUUUUGUCUUCGUUUGCGCGUUCCUGUUCGUUCACCGGUAGACAAGGAGCAGCGGAGGCGAAAGGGUUGGGGGUGACGGGGGGUCGGUUUAGGCGGCGGGCUAAGGCGACGGCGCGGCGGCUAGGGAGGGGGCAGGUACCGCUAGCCCGGGCCGUCGGCGGAGGGGCUGGAGGGUAAGAGGGCUAAGCCUUAAACUAUUCCAAAUCGCCGGACAGGCGGAGGGGCGUCGAGCAGGACGAGCUAACGACUAAACCAGCCCCCUUCCCUCAGAAGACGCCGAUUGCGAAGCCAUCUUAACGAGAGGCCCUCCGCCCCCCUCCCUCCCUACCCCUACGACAAGCACCUCAUGGAGGGCCCCGGGUUCCACAAGUUCACGUUCAAGACGUCCCAACUGAGCCGCAGCGGACUGCUGUAGCACAGGUUCCUCAAGGCACCGGCGGUGCCGGCGCGGAUGGAGAAGCUAUCGCACCACUUACACUCGGAACCAGGGUUACUCCUAGCGGUAGAGAACUGACCUAACGUAUGUCACUUGCUAUAGAUGACAUCGACGACGGUUGCUGAGGAACCGACCUUUAUACGCUUUCGGAUGUUGCUUCUGGUCUUCAUGUUUCUUCCUUUCAAGUAUGAUCUCUUCUUGUACUACGACUUUCUUCCUGCAAUCGACCACCCUUUACUACCAGACGACAGUUUCAGACGUUUUCGUCUGUAAGCGCUGACGCUUCACAUCGAUUUCUAAGCAACUAUGACUAAAGGACUUGUAACUAAUGAGACCACUGCCGGUAGUGGUGCUUUUACGUAAACACUUUAGACAACGGGACAAUGUAAACGAGCCGACCGGAGACUUUAUCAUGAGACAAUGGUCGAAAAGAACUAAGUUGGCACCUCCAAGUGUCUACA
This 1037-nucleotide ribosomal RNA is filed under the name Triticum aestivum (bread wheat). Its description in RNAcentral is "partial small subunit ribosomal RNA". The record is from RNAcentral. Lineage: Eukaryota; Viridiplantae; Streptophyta; Magnoliopsida; Poales; Poaceae.